RNAcentral lists this ribosomal RNA (563 nucleotides) under Alexandrium tamarense. RNAcentral's name for it is "partial Eukaryotic small subunit ribosomal RNA". It matches the Rfam family "Eukaryotic small subunit ribosomal RNA", at positions 569 to 1142 of the family's 1831-position model. The record is from RNAcentral. Lineage: Eukaryota; Dinophyceae; Gonyaulacales; Pyrocystaceae.
AGCAGCCGCGGUAAUUCCAGCUCCAAUAGCGUAUAUUUAAGUUGUUGCAGUUAAAAAGCUCGUAGUUGGAUUUCGGUUGAGAGCGGCCGGUCCGCCGUUUGGUGUGCACUGGCUGGUUUCAGCUUCCUGCAGAGGACGCGCUCUGGGCUUAAUCGUCUGGACGUGGAGUCUGCGUGGUUACUUUGAAAAAAUUAGAGUGUUCAAAGCGGGCUUACGCUUGAAUAUUUCAGCAUGGAAUAACACUAUAGGACUCCUGUCCUAUUUCGUUGGUCUCGGGACGGGAGUAAUGAUUAAGAGGAACAGUUGGGGGCAUUCGUAUUUCAAUGUCAGAGGUGAAAUUCUUGGAUUUUUGAAAGACGAACUUCUGCGAAAGCAUUUGCCAAGGAUGUUUUCAUUAAUCAAGAACGAAAGUUGGGGGCUCGAAGAUGAUUAGAUACCAUCCUAGUCUCAACCAUAAACGAUGCCGACUAGGGAUUGGCGGAUGUUAAUUGAUGACUCCGCCAGCACCUUAUGAGAAAUCAAAGUUUUUGGGUUCCGGGGGGAGUAUGGUCGCAAGGCUGAAA